CCUACGGGUGGCAGCAGUGGGGAAUAUUGGACAAUGGGGGGAACCCUGAUCCAGCCAUGCCGCGUGUGUGAAGAAGGCCCUCGGGUUGUAAAGCACUUUCAGUGAGGAAGAACGCCUGGUGGUUAAUACCCAUCAGGAAAGACAUCACUCACAUAAGAAGCACCGGCUAACUCCGUGCCAGCAGCCGCGGUAAUACGGAGGGUGCGAGCGUUAAUCGGAAUUACUGGGCGUAAAGCGCGCGUAGGUGGCUUGAUAAGCCGGUUGUGAAAGCCCCGGGCUCAACCUGGGAACGGCAUCCGGAACUGUCAAGCUAGAGGGCAGGAGAGGAAGGUAGAAUUCCCGGUGUCGCGGUGAAAUGCGUAGAGAUCGGGAGGAAUACCAGUGGCGAAGGCGGCCUUCUGGACUGCCACUGACCCUGAGGUGCGAAAGCGUGGGUAGCAAACAGGAUUAGAUACCCUAGUAGUC
RNAcentral lists this ribosomal RNA (465 nucleotides) under Vreelandella stevensii. RNAcentral describes it as "partial 16S ribosomal RNA". It matches the Rfam family "Bacterial small subunit ribosomal RNA", at positions 338 to 795 of the family's 1533-position model. The record is from RNAcentral. Lineage: Bacteria; Pseudomonadati; Pseudomonadota; Gammaproteobacteria; Oceanospirillales; Halomonadaceae.